GAUGAACGCUGGCGGCGUGCCUAAUACAUGCAAGUCGAGCGAACGGACGAGAAGCUUGCUUCUCUGAUGUUAGCGGCGGACGGGUGAGUAACACGUGGAUAACCUACCUAUAAGACUGGGAUAACUUCGGGAAACCGUAGCUAAUACCGGAUAAUAUUUUGAACCGCAUGGUUCAAAAGUGAAAGACGGUCUUGCUGUCACUUAUAGAUGGAUCCGCGCUGCAUUAGCUAGUUGGUAAGGUAACGGCUUACCAAGGCAACGAUGCAUAGCCGACCUGAGAGGGUGAUCGGCCACACUGGAACUGAGACACGGUCCAGACUCCUACGGGAGGCAGCAGUGGGGAAUCUUCCGCAAUGGGCGAAAGCCUGACGGAGCAACGCCGCGUGAGUGAUGAAGGUCUUCGGAUCGUAAACCUCUGUUAUUAGGGAAGAACAUAUGUGUAAGUAACUGUGCACAUCUUGACGGUACCUAAUCAGAAAGCCACGGCUAACUACGUG
RNAcentral lists this ribosomal RNA (497 nucleotides) under uncultured bacterium. Its description in RNAcentral is "partial 16S ribosomal RNA". It matches the Rfam family "Bacterial small subunit ribosomal RNA", at positions 28 to 507 of the family's 1533-position model. The record is from RNAcentral.